GCCUGGAUAGCUCAGGUGGUUAGAGUACAGUGCUGAUAGUGCCAAGGUUGCAGGUUUGAUCCCUGUAUGGGACA
Non-coding RNA from Podarcis lilfordi (Lilford's wall lizard), 74 nucleotides. Lineage: Eukaryota; Metazoa; Chordata; Lepidosauria; Squamata; Lacertidae. The record is from the annotation of a GenBank genome assembly.